Molecule: ribosomal RNA, 600 nt
Filed under: uncultured bacterium
Lineage: Bacteria
Description: bacterial SSU rRNA
Rfam family: Bacterial small subunit ribosomal RNA
Source: RNAcentral
UGCUUCAGGCCUAACACAUGCAAGUCGAACGGUAACAGGAAAAAGCUUGCUUUUUUGCUGACGAGUGGCGCACGGGUGCGUAACGCGUAUACAAUCUACCUCUUACAGGGGGAUAGCCUUUGGAAACGAAGAUUAAUACCCCAUAGUAUUUACAAUUCGCAUGUUUUGUAAAUUAAAGUUUCGGCGGUAGGAGAUGAGUAUGCGUUCUAUUAGCUAGUAGGUGUGGUAACGGCACACCUAGGCAACGAUAGAUAGGGGCCCUGAGAGGGGGAUCCCCCACACUGGUACUGAGACACGGACCAGACUCCUACGGGAGGCAGCAGUGAGGAAUAUUGGACAAUGGGCGGAAGCCUGAUCCAGCCAUGCCGCGUGCAGGAAGACUGCCCUAUGGGUUGUAAACUGCUUUUGUACGGGAAGAAACCCAUCUACGUGUAGAUGGCUGACGGUACCGUAAGAAUAAGCAUCGGCUAACUCCGUGCCAGCAGCCGCGGUGAUACGGAGGAUGCAAGCGUUAUCCGGAAUCAUUGGGUUUAAAGGGUCCGUAGGUGGAUUGGUCAGUCAGAGGUGAAAUCCUGCAGCUCAACUGUAGAACUGCCUUUG